UACGAAGGGGGCUAGCGUUGUCCGGAUUUACUGGGUGUAAAGGGCGCGUAGGCGGACUUGUCAGUCAGAGGUGAAACCCUGCAGCUUAACUGCAGAACUGCCUUUGAUACUGCAAGCCUUGAGUCUAGAAGAGAGAAGCGGAAUUCCAGGUGUAGUGGUGAAAUACGUAGAUAUCUGGAAGAACACCAGUUGCGAAGGCGGCUUCUUGGUCUAGAACUGACGCUGAGGCACGAAAGCGUGGGGAGCAAACAGG
RNAcentral lists this ribosomal RNA (253 nucleotides) under uncultured bacterium. Its description in RNAcentral is "partial 16S ribosomal RNA". It matches the Rfam family "Bacterial small subunit ribosomal RNA", at positions 524 to 776 of the family's 1533-position model. The record is from RNAcentral.